This 491-nucleotide ribosomal RNA is filed under the name uncultured bacterium. RNAcentral's name for it is "partial 16S ribosomal RNA". It matches the Rfam family "Bacterial small subunit ribosomal RNA", at positions 29 to 507 of the family's 1533-position model. The record is from RNAcentral.
AGUGAACGCUGGCGGUAGGCCUAACACAUGCAAGUCGAACGGCAGCACAGUAAGAGCUUGCUCUUACGGGUGGCGAGUGGCGGACGGGUGAGGAAUACAUCGGAAUCUACUUUUUCGUGGGGGAUAACGUAGGGAAACUUACGCUAAUACCGCAUACGACCUACGGGUGAAAGCAGGGGAUCUUCGGACCUUGCGCGAUUGAAUGAGCCGAUGUCGGAUUAGCUAGUUGGCGGGGUAAAGGCCCACCAAGGCGACGAUCCGUAGCUGGUCUGAGAGGAUGAUCACCAACACUGAACAUGAGACACGGUCCAGCUCCUUAGGGAAGGAAGCAGGGGGGAAUAUUGGAAAAUGGGGGAAGCCCGGACCAAGCAAAACGGCGUGGUGAAGAAGGCCUUCGGGUUGUAAAGCCCUUUUGUUGGGAAAGAAAAGCAGCAGGUUAAUACCCCGCUGUUCUGACGGUACCCAAAGAAUAAGCACCGGCUAACUUCGUG